This 495-nucleotide ribosomal RNA is filed under the name uncultured bacterium. Its description in RNAcentral is "partial 16S ribosomal RNA". It matches the Rfam family "Bacterial small subunit ribosomal RNA", at positions 28 to 507 of the family's 1533-position model. The record is from RNAcentral.
GACGAACGCUGGCGGCGUGCCUAAUACAUGCAAGUAGAACGCUGAAGGAGGAGCUUGCUUCUCUGGAUGAGUUGCGAACGGGUGAGUAACGCGUAGGUAACCUGCCUGGUAGCGGGGGAUAACUAUUGGAAACGAUAGCUAAUACCGCAUAAGAUUGACUAUUGCAUGAUAGUCAGUUAAAAGGUGCAAUUGCAUCACUACCAGAUGGACCUGCGUUGUAUUAGCUAGUUGGUGGGGUAACGGCUCACCAAGGCGACGAUACAUAGCCGACCUGAGAGGGUGGUCGGCCACACUGGGACUGAGACCCGGCCCAGACUCCUACGGGAGGCAGCAGUAGGGAAUCUUCGGCAAUGGACGGAAGUCUGACCGAGCAACGCCGCGUGAGUGAAGAAGGUUUUCGGAUCGUAAAGCUCUGUUGUAAGAGAAGAACGAGUGUGAGAGUGGAAAGUUCACACUGUGACGGUAUCUUACCAGAAAGGGACGGCUAACUACGUG